This 104-nucleotide non-coding RNA is filed under the name Bacillus sp. (in: firmicutes). RNAcentral's name for it is "Bacillus sp. SAM-I sequence". It matches the Rfam family "SAM riboswitch aptamer (S box leader)". Rfam says of the family: The SAM riboswitch is found upstream of a number of genes which code for proteins involved in methionine or cysteine biosynthesis in Gram-positive bacteria. The record is from RNAcentral. Lineage: Bacteria; Bacillati; Bacillota; Bacilli; Caryophanales; Bacillaceae.
UCCUUAUAAAGAGUCGGGGGAAGAACUGGUCUUAUGAUCCCGCAGCAACCUCUUCGGUGUAAGAAGGUGCUAAUUCCAGCAGGUGAUUACCUGAGAGAUAAGGA